This 494-nucleotide ribosomal RNA is filed under the name uncultured bacterium. Its description in RNAcentral is "partial 16S ribosomal RNA". It matches the Rfam family "Bacterial small subunit ribosomal RNA", at positions 28 to 507 of the family's 1533-position model. The record is from RNAcentral.
GACGAACGCUGGCGGCGUGCUUAACACAUGCAAGUCGAACGGAAAGGCCUGCUUUCCCUUGUGGAUUGCAGGUACUCGAGUGGCGAACGGGUGAGUAACACGUGAGUGAUCUGCCCCCAACUUGGGUAUAAGCCUGGGAAACUGGGUCUAAUUCCCGAUAGGACUGCAGGGUGGUGCCUGUGGUGGAAAACGAUUUUCUAGUGGUUGGGGAUGAGCUCGCGGCCUAUCAGCUUGUUGGUGGGGUAAUGGCCUACCAAGGCGGCGACGGGUAGCCGGCCUGAGAGGGUGGACGGCCACAUUGGGACUGAGAUACGGCCCAGACGCCUACGGGAGGCAGCAGUGGGGAAUAUUGCACAAUGGGCGGAAGCCUGAUGCAGCGACGCCGCGUGGGGGAUGACGGCCUUCGGGUUGUAAACUCCUUUCGACCGCGAGGAAGCCACCUGGUUGGAAGGGUGGUGACGGUAGUGGUAGAAGAAGCACCGGCUAACUACGUG